This 263-nucleotide ribosomal RNA is filed under the name uncultured bacterium. RNAcentral describes it as "partial 16S ribosomal RNA". It matches the Rfam family "Bacterial small subunit ribosomal RNA", at positions 793 to 1055 of the family's 1533-position model. The record is from RNAcentral.
GUCCACGCCCUAAACGAUGUCAACUGGUUGUUGGGGAUUUAUUCUCUUAGUAACGAAGCUAACGCGUGAAGUUGACCGCCUGGGGAGUACGGUCGCAAGAUUAAAACUCAAAGGAAUUGACGGGGCCCGCACAAGCGGUGGAUGAUGUGGAUUAAUUCGAUGCAACGCGAAAACCUUACCUACGCUUGACAUGUCCGAAAGCCCCGAAGAGAUUUGGGUGUGCUCGAAAGAGAAUCGGAACACAGGUGCUGCAUGGCUGUCGU